GAUCCUGGCUCAGAUUGAACGCUGGCGGCAGGCCUAACACAUGCAAGUCGAGCGGAUGAAGAGAGCUUGCUCUUUGAUUCAGCGGCGGACGGGUGAGUAAUGCCCUAGGAAUCUGCCCUGGAUAGUGGGGGACAACGUUUCGAAAGGGGCGCUAAUACCGCAUACGUCCUACGGGAGAAAGCAGGGGGACCCGUUCGGGCCGUUGCGCUAUCAGAUGAGGCCUAGGGUCGGAUUAGCUAGUUGGUGG
Molecule: ribosomal RNA, 247 nt
Filed under: uncultured bacterium
Lineage: Bacteria
Description: partial 16S ribosomal RNA
Rfam family: Bacterial small subunit ribosomal RNA
Source: RNAcentral